Long non-coding RNA from Musca domestica (house fly), 1047 nucleotides. RefSeq lists it as uncharacterized. The record is from RefSeq and is a predicted model, not a curated record. The transcript is spliced from 3 exons. NCBI's taxonomy places the organism in Eukaryota, Metazoa, Arthropoda, Insecta, Diptera, Muscidae.
AAAUCAUAUCGGACUUGCAAAAUGAAAUUAAAUUGGGUAAAAGGAACCAGAAACAUGUCAAAGAAAGAAAACAAAAGAACAUUCACCAAAUAUUACACAAAAUCCCAAACUUACUUUAACUAUCAGAAACAGAAACAGUGCCAAAUUUAAUGCAAAAUCUAAUAUUUUUCCUUUCCCCUUUUCAUAUUUUAGGUUGCGAUGGCGGAUGACAAAAAGUAGGGAACAAUAAAGGCAGCUAAUAUUUGCGGUUCUUCCCAACAAGAAAGGACAAACAAAGGAGGGAAGUCGAUAUCACAUAAAAUCGAUGAACUAAACGAACUAAAAGCCUGGUUACCUAACCUUGAAAAGAGCUCUGUUCAACGUCAUGAACCUGCAUAUUAACCAAAAAUGAAAACCGCGGAAUUUAACUAUUUUGCUUCGUCGUCCGUCUGUCUGUUCGGAGUUUAUAGUAACAAAUGUCGAUUGGGAAUACCAAGCCACGCUGGUUUAGCGAUGGCAUAAAAACUGCGCCUCCCUCGAUGGAUUGAAUGGGCGAUGGUGUGGCUCGUAAUUCAAUUCUUCUUUUGGAUCUUUAUGUAAAAGAGUUAUUUCAUUGCUUUAGAUAUUAAUUUAAUUGUUUUGUUUUCAAAUUUCGUUAAAUUGUUUCCAAAUUUAAUUUCAUUAAUUUCAUUUCAUUCAAUUUAAUUUCAAAAAAAGUUUAUUUUUUCUUUUAAUUUUCAAUUUUCAUGAAAACUAUUUGUCUUAGUUAUAAGUUUCCUUUUUUAACUGUUAGCCUUUUGUUGUUAAAUUUUGAUUUUAAUCGUUUUAAGGCUUUCAAUUUUGUUUAAAAAAGUUUGUAGUUUCUAUUUUGUGUUGUUUGUUUAUGUGUUUCAAACAAAUAAGAAAUUGCAUCCACUUAGGAGGUACUAAUAAUCACAAAAACGUCUACUACAGCGUUACGUAAAAUUCUACAUAGCGUACAUAAAUAAUAAACUUCCCGACAAUUUUAUACCCUCCAACUUGAAAAGGAGGGUAUAUUAACAUUUUCAUUUUUUUUAGUAAUAAAUA